GUACUUUGUUAAUGAAAUUUGAUGUCUUUCUUAUUUUGUUCAUUCAUUCAUUAGUUUUGGAUUCGUAAACAGAGGUAAGUGUUUCCAUCUUAAUUUCAUUAAGAUCUUAACAUGGAUGUGUUUAUUUAUUUAAAAUUGGUCUAAAUUUUGAGUUUUUAUUUAUGAGAUUGAUACGAAACUGGAAAGAGUCUAACUUCAAGUGUUAAUAAUUUAAUUCCUUUGUUUUUUGUUGGUCCUAAUUUGAUAUGUAUCUGCAUGUUAAGAUUACGAUUUAGAUUGUUUCUUUUUUGUAAUCUGUAGAAUUUUUAAUAUGAUUGUGGAACUGGGUGUGAAAUAUUGUGAAGUUUGUAGUGGGUAAUGGAGGGCGUGAGGAAUUGGGUUUGUUUGAGGAGGAAAGAGAAGGAAAGGGCGUUUCUUGCUGGGAUAAUGGUCGCCAAUAUUGAUGAGUUUUUAGUUAGGCUUUAUUUGGUUGGGAGGAAUCGGAAGGAAAAGAAAAGAAAGGAAAGUUAAAAUAAUGUUUCCUGUAUUUGGUACAAAUAAUUAUAUGGGAAGUGGAAGGAAAGGAAGGGAAUUGGAAGGAAAGCUCCUUUAUAAAAAUUUCACUUUCCUUUCCUCCCAAAAUUGGACGAAUUCGGAAGGAAAGCUUUUUAGCUGUCAUUUAUAUUUCCUUUCUCUUCCCUUCAUUUCUUUCCCUUAAACCAAACACGGGAAAAUAAAAUCUCUUUCCCUUCCCUUCUUUUCCUUUCUUUUCCCUUCCUUUCUUCUCUCUUCCUUUCCUUUACUAAUAAUGAACCAAAUAGGGCCUUAGGAAGGAGUUGAAUUUCUAGGGUUUAGGAAUUUUGAUUUUGAUUGUCAUUGGUGAUGACCAAGUUGCAAAAUAAGAAUAUGUUUAGCAGCAACCCAACUCCUGCAAUGUAGAAAAGCUCAUUCUUGUCAGAAUUACUCAUUGUGUGUUUUUGUCUGUGGUUUUUUGAGAAUUAAUGAAAUCUAAACCCUUUUUUUUCCUCUAGAAAAUAAGUUGGAUUAUUGUUUGUGCAACUAAUAUUGAUGACCAACUUGGAAAAAAUCGAUAUUCAAGAAAAACCCAACUUGGAUGAAAUCAGAUAGUCAUACACUCUUUUAAAAAUAACACAAACUUACAAGAAAAAGUUGAACCCCAAUUCUAAUCCAAUCAUAUUACAGAAAAUUGGAAAACCAAGAAAAUAAGAGUGAAAAUUAAACCUGACUCUGGGCGCUGUAGUUUCAAACACUAAACUCAAAUUUCCUAAAAUCAAUAUUGUCUAAAAAAAAUGAGCGUUUUAUUUGCAUUUGGUAGUGUUCUGUUAUGCAUAGUGAUACUAAAAUGGUUAUGGAAAUUACUAAAUGGGUUAUGGUUAAAUCCCAAAAGGCUAGAGAAAUGUCUAAAGCAACAAGGCCUUGUUGGUAAUUCCUACAAAUUUUUGAUGGGAGAUAUGAAAGAAAGCUCUACUUUGCGUGCUCAAGCUUUGAACAAACCCAUUCCUUUUACUCAUGAUUACUACCAUCGUAUUCAGCCUUUCACCCAUCAGAUUCUCAACAAUUCUUGUGCAGGCAAAAAUAUCUACACAUGGUUGGGACCAGUGCCAACAAUACUAAUUACACAGCCUGAGUUAAUAAAGGAUGCUUUCAAUAGGAUGAACAAUUUCCAAAAACAAAGAUUAAAUCCAUAUACUCAAAUACUUUCAGCUGGACUUCCGAACUACGAGGGCCAGAAAUGGGCUAAACACAGGAAGCUUCUCAACCCUGCUUUUCAACUUCAUAAGCUCAAGCUUAUGAUCCCGGCUUUUGAAACCUGCGUUACUGAUACACUAAAUAAGUGGGAGAAGUUGUGAUCCUUGUGUUCCUUUGUGUGUUUUUGGAUUAUUUGCUUUGUCUAUUUCGCUGGUUCGACUUAUUAUCUUUUCAGGCCGAGAAUCAAUUCAUGGCUGGAACAUGGGAAAAGACGAACCUUAACAAAUGGGUAACUGAAAGGAUUAAGGUUUGGUCUCGCCAUUCACAUUAUUUAGUUUUUGCGUACAUUGUUCAUGGGUAUGUGGUUUAAUGCUGACAAGAAAAAUGAACUUACUCCAAAUCUACAUUGUCUCUUCCGCUUUCCCCUAUGUUAUAUCCAUUAAUUUUACCAUCUUUUCCCCCGCUCUUAGUUAAAUUUUGCAAUGCAACCUAAAAUAUUGAUUCAGUUCUUCUAAGCGGAUCCUUUAUUUGCUAUUUUUUUUAAAAAACGUAGAAAAGAUGGAAUUAGAGAGAAAAAUAGGCCUUUUUUAAAGGAAGACAUUGAUGUUUGAUUGAAGGAAUUGAAAUUACAAAGUACUUCGUCUUACAUAAACAUAUUCAUAUUUAAACUUUAUACGGAGUACGUAGUAUUAAGAAAAAGUGCCUAAGGUUCAAGAAAUCUUAAAUGGCUAAUUCUCUACCCUUGUUGUGUCAACUUUGUUCUAAUUCUCUAAUUCUAACAUAUGAUGCUCACAAAUCUACCAUAGUGCGGCGUAUACACACAAUAGUUGUUAAUUUACACAAUUUACAACUCAACUUAUAUCGAUGUAUUGCCUUUAAAAUGUUCAAUUGUAAUUCAAAUCAAUUGGAUUAAAUAUAGUGGUAACAAAUACACUUUUGGAAUACUAAAUAAUCUUGCUUUGACUUUUUCUUUUGAAUUAAUUAAUAACCUUUUAAUUUUAAUAGAUUUUGAAUAAUUUAAUGGUAAAUGAAGGUGCAGUUUUCUGCCCUUAUUAUUACGUUUGCAUCCAGAGGAAACUUAUGAAUCAAAUGGACUUAGACAGUCAAGAUGCAU
RNA transcript from Spinacia oleracea (spinach), 2803 nucleotides. It is a transcript of the gene named cytochrome P450 72A552, with no coding region annotated. The transcript has 4 exons. Lineage: Eukaryota; Viridiplantae; Streptophyta; Magnoliopsida; Caryophyllales; Amaranthaceae. The record is from RefSeq and is a predicted model, not a curated record.